GUUUGAUCCUGGCUCAGGACGAACGCUGGCGGCGUGCCUAAUACAUGCAAGUCGAGCGGAUUGAUGGGAGCUUGCUCCCUGAUAUCAGCGGCGGACGGGUGAGUAACACGUGGGUAACCUGCCUGUAAGACUGGGAUAACUCCGGGAAACCGGGGCUAAUACCGGAUAACUCAUUUCCUCGCAUGAGGAAAUGUUGAAAGAUGGCUUCUUGCUAUCACUUACAGAUGGACCCGCGGCGCAUUAGCUAGUUGGUGAGGUAACGGCUCACCAAGGCAACGAUGCGUAGCCGACCUGAGAGGGUGAUCGGCCACACUGGGACUGAGACACGGCCCAGACUCCUACGGGAGGCAGCAGUAGGGAAUCUUCCGCAAUGGACGAAAGUCUGACGGAGCAACGCCGCGUGAGUGAUGAAGGUUUUCGGAUCGUAAAGCUCUGUUGUUAGGGAAGAACAAGUGCCGUUCGAAUAGGACGGCACCUUGACGGUACCUAACCAGAAAGCCACGGCUAACUACGUGCCAGCA
Molecule: ribosomal RNA, 521 nt
Filed under: Rossellomorea vietnamensis
Lineage: Bacteria; Bacillati; Bacillota; Bacilli; Caryophanales; Bacillaceae
Description: bacterial SSU rRNA
Rfam family: Bacterial small subunit ribosomal RNA
Source: RNAcentral